Non-coding RNA from Picea glauca (white spruce), 835 nucleotides. Lineage: Eukaryota; Viridiplantae; Streptophyta; Pinopsida; Pinales; Pinaceae. The record is from Rfam.
GCGUAGAGGAAAAAUUUCCCAAAGUCCAUGGCCUUGAUCAUGCCUAUAUUUGAGGUUCAUUCGAUCAUGUCAUAAGAUUUCCCAAAAAUCAAUCUCAAUGAAGAGGGUGUUUAAAUCAAGGAAACAUUUGAGGGCAUUCCAUAACUUUUUCCCCUUCAAGCAAUAUCACAUACAACAUGCACUCCUUUUCCUCCUCUGCAUCAAUCAUGUGAAAAUCCCUACAAACUAACAAAUGGAUUUCCAAUGAUUUGUCAAUAAUCCAUUUAUAUAAAAGGGCACAUUCAUCAUUAGUCACAUAGAAGUUGGAUAAACCCAACAACCUUCCAUCCAAACUCAACAAAAUUGAAACACAUUUUUGAGAGUUGUUGGUGCCUCAUCCUAUAACUGACGACAACGUUAGGAAAUCCAGAGACAUCGUCAGGGCCCCCAGAAAGAGUUAUCUUUUAUUUUUAACAACUUUCCCACCCUGAAAUCGACUGAACCAGAGAUAGGGUCCAACAGCUGGAAGAACAUCGCACACCUUGCGGUGUCCGGUGCACCCUCGACGACCCUUCAAAAAUUGGAGGAUCGAGUACCAUCCAUGCUCGGUCGUACUCAUAACUGCAUUAGGUCUCCAAGGUGAACAACCUCUUCUCAAUAGAACAAUGUAGGUAAGGGAAGUCGACAAAACAAAUCUGUAACUUUGGGAAAAGGAUUGGCUCUAAGGGUUGGGCCUAGGGGUCCGCGUCCUCAACCUGUGGGCUGUCGACAAUCUUACCAUGAGACUGUCAUUGAUUACUGCUACCUCUUUUUGAAUGGUAGUGCAACUAAUUAAUGCUACCUCCUUUUGAAUGGU